UACGUAGGGCGCAAGCGUUAUCCGAAAUUAUUGGGCGUAAAGAGCUCGUAGGCGGUUUGUCGCGUCUGCCGUGAAAGUCCGGGGCUCAACUCCGGAUCUGCGGUGGGUACGGGCAGACUAGAGUGAUGUAGGGGAGACUGGAAUUCCUGGUGUAGCGGUGAAAUGCGUAGAUAUCGAGAGGAACACCUGCGGCGAAGGCGGGUAGCUGGGCCGACACUGACGCUGAGGCGCGAAAGCCAGGGGAGCGAACGGG
RNAcentral lists this ribosomal RNA (253 nucleotides) under uncultured bacterium. RNAcentral's name for it is "partial 16S ribosomal RNA". It matches the Rfam family "Bacterial small subunit ribosomal RNA", at positions 524 to 776 of the family's 1533-position model. The record is from RNAcentral.